GAUGAACGCUCGCGAUAGGCUUAACACAUGCAAGUCGAGGGGCAGCAUGGUCUUAGCUUGCUAAGACUGAUGGCGACCGGCGCACGGGUGCGUAACGCGUAUGCAACUUGCCUCACAGAGGGGGAUAACCCGUCGAAAGACGGACUAAUACCGCGUACACUUGGGAUAGGGCAUCCUGACCCAAGGAAAUGAAAUUCGCUGUGAGAUAGGCAUGCGUCCCAUUAGCUAGUUGGUGAGGUAACGGCUCACCAAGGCGACGAUGGGUAGGGGAACUGAGAGGUUGAACCCCCACACUGGUACUGAGACACGGACCAGACUCCUACGGGAGGCAGCAGUGAGGAAUAUUGGUCAAUGGGCGAGAGCCUGAACCAGCCAAGUCACGUGAAGGAUGACUGUCUUAUGGAUUGUAAACUUCUUUUAGACGGGAAUAACAAGAGCCACGUGUGGCUCCCUGCAUGUACCGUAUGAAUAAGCAUCGGCUAACUCCGUG
This 490-nucleotide ribosomal RNA is filed under the name uncultured bacterium. RNAcentral describes it as "partial 16S ribosomal RNA". It matches the Rfam family "Bacterial small subunit ribosomal RNA", at positions 28 to 507 of the family's 1533-position model. The record is from RNAcentral.